GUGCUGGCUUGGGCAGCACAUAUACUAAAAUUAGAACAGUGCAAAGAAGAUUAGCAUGUCCUCUGUGCAAGGAUGAAUGUAAAUUCGUAAGGCAUUCUAUAUUUAA
Molecule: small nuclear RNA, 106 nt
Organism: Mustela putorius furo (domestic ferret)
Lineage: Eukaryota; Metazoa; Chordata; Mammalia; Carnivora; Mustelidae
Source: Ensembl